ACUUCCCCUAGAGGCACUGCGGGUGUGGCUGCUGUGUCACCUGUGCCUCUAUAGGUGGCAGAGAGGAGAGAGACUAGGUCUACACUCAUCUUCCUGUCCUGUGAAUAUCUGAAUGAUUAGGAGCCUAACACU
Small nucleolar RNA from Apodemus sylvaticus (European woodmouse), 132 nucleotides. RefSeq annotates it as small nucleolar RNA SNORA17. The transcript has a single exon. The record is from RefSeq and is a predicted model, not a curated record. NCBI's taxonomy places the organism in Eukaryota, Metazoa, Chordata, Mammalia, Rodentia, Muridae.